GCCAGGCAUGGUGGUGCAUGCCUGUAAUCCCAGCAGCUCCAGAGGCUGAGGCAGGAGGAUCAUGAGUUCAAAGCCAGUCUCAGCAAAAACAAGGUGCUAAGCAACUCAGUGAGACCCUGUCUCUA
RNAcentral lists this small RNA (125 nucleotides) under Marmota monax (woodchuck). The record is from RNAcentral. Lineage: Eukaryota; Metazoa; Chordata; Mammalia; Rodentia; Sciuridae.